This 2878-nucleotide ribosomal RNA is filed under the name Stenotrophomonas maltophilia. RNAcentral describes it as "23S ribosomal RNA". It matches the Rfam family "Bacterial large subunit ribosomal RNA". RNAcentral also lists the same sequence under 1 other name. The record is from RNAcentral. Lineage: Bacteria; Pseudomonadati; Pseudomonadota; Gammaproteobacteria; Lysobacterales; Lysobacteraceae.
GGUCAAGCGAAUAAGCGCACACGGUGGAUGCCUUGGCGGUCAGAGGCGAUGAAGGACGUGGCAGCCUGCGAAAAGUAUCGGGGAGCUGGCAACAAGCUUUGAUCCGGUAAUGUCCGAAUGGGGAAACCCACCCGCUUGCGGGUAUCCUGCAGUGAAUACAUAGCUGCUGGAAGCGAACCUGGUGAACUGAAAUAUCUAAGUAACCAGAGGAAAAGAAAUCAACCGAGAUUCCGUAAGUAGCGACGAGCGAACGCGGACUAGCCCUUAAGCUGGAUUGGUUCUAGGAAAACGCUCUGGAAAGAGCGGCCAUAGAAGGUGAUAGCCCUGUAUCUGAAAGGGCCAUUCCAGUGAAGACGAGUAGGGCGGGGCACGUGAAACCCUGUCUGAACAUGGGGGGACCAUCCUCCAAGGCUAAAUACUACUGACCGACCGAUAGUGAACCAGUACCGUGAGGGAAAGGCGAAAAGAACCCCGGAGAGGGGAGUGAAAUAGAACCUGAAACCGUGUGCGUACAAGCAGUAGGAGCUCCGCAAGGAGUGACUGCGUACCUUUUGUAUAAUGGGUCAGCGACUUACUGUUCGUGGCAAGCUUAACCGUAUAGGGGAGGCGAAGGGAAACCGAGUCUGAUAAGGGCGCAUAGUCGCGGGCAGUAGACCCGAAACCGGGUGAUCUAGUCAUGCCCAGGGUGAAGGUGCGGUAACACGCACUGGAGGCCCGAACCCACUCCCGUUGCAAAGGUAGGGGAUGAGGUGUGAUUAGGAGUGAAAAGCUAAUCGAACCCGGAGAUAGCUGGUUCUCCUCGAAAGCUAUUUAGGUAGCGCCUCAUAUGUAUCCUCUCGGGGGUAGAGCACUGUUAUGGCUAGGGGGUCAUCGCGACUUACCAAACCAUUGCAAACUCCGAAUACCGAGACGGACUGUAUGGGAGACACACGGCGGGUGCUAACGUCCGUCGUGAAAAGGGAAACAACCCAGACCCACAGCUAAGGUCCCAAAUUCACUGCUAAGUGGAAAACCAUGUGGAAAGGCACAGACAGCCAGGAGGUUGGCUUAGAAGCAGCCACCCUUUAAAGAAAGCGUAAUAGCUCACUGGUCGAGUCGGUCUGCGGGGAAGAUUUAACGGGGCUAAGCAGUGAACCGAAGCUUGGGGUGCAUACUUUGUAUGCGCGGUAGAGGAGCGUUCCGUAAGCCGUUGAAGGUGGAUUGAGAAGUCUGCUGGAGGUAUCGGAAGUGCGAAUGCUGACAUGAGUAACGAUAAUGCGGGUGAAAAACCCGCACGCCGAAAGCCCAAGGUUUCCUUGCGCAACGUUAAUCGGCGCAGGGUGAGUCGGCCCCUAAGGCGAGGACGAAAGUCGUAGUCGAUGGGAAGCAGGUUAAUAUUCCUGCACCUCGCGUAAGUGCGAUGGAGGGACGGAGAAGGUUAGGUGUACCAGGCGUUGGUUGUCCUGGGGAAAGGCGGUAGGUUUGGAUCUUUGGCAAAUCCGGGAUCCUCUAAGACCGAGCACCGAGACGAGCCUUUAUGGCGAAGUCACUGAUACCACGCUUCCAGGAAAAGCUCCUAAGCUUCAGCUUACGCAGACCGUACCGUAAACCGACACAGGUGGGUAGGAUGAGAAUUCUCAGGCGCUUGAGAGAACUCGGGUGAAGGAACUAGGCAACAUGGCACCGUAACUUCGGGAGAAGGUGCACCCUUUUUGGUGGCUCGUGCGAGCUAUAGCUGAAGAGGGUCGCAGUAACCAGGCCGCUGCGACUGUUUAUCAAAAACACAGCACUCUGCAAACACGAAAGUGGACGUAUAGGGUGUGACGCCUGCCCGGUGCUGGAAGGUUAAUUGAUGGGGUCAGCCGCAAGGCGAAGCUCUUGAUCGAAGCCCCAGUAAACGGCGGCCGUAACUAUAACGGUCCUAAGGUAGCGAAAUUCCUUGUCGGGUAAGUUCCGACCUGCACGAAUGGCGUAACGACAGCGGCGCUGUCUCCACCCGAGACUCAGUGAAAUUGAAAUCGCUGUGAAGAUGCAGCGUUCCCGUGGCAAGACGGAAAGACCCCGUGAACCUUUACUAUAGCUUUACACUGAACGUUGAGUUCGUCUGUGUAGGAUAGGUGGGAGGCUAUGAAACUGUGGCGCUAGCUGCAGCGGAGCCAUCCUUGAAAUACCACCCUGUCGUGCUUGACGUUCUAACCUGGGCCCAUUAUCUGGGUCGGGGACCGUGUAUGGUGGGUAGUUUGACUGGGGCGGUCUCCUCCUAAAGAGUAACGGAGGAGCUCGAAGGUACGCUCAGCGCGGUCGGACAUCGCGCACUGUGUGCAAAGGCAUAAGCGUGCUUGACUGCAAGAUCGACGGAUCAAGCAGGUAGGAAACUAGGACUUAGUGAUCCGGUGGUUCUGUAUGGAAGGGCCAUCGCUCAACGGAUAAAAGGUACUCCGGGGAUAACAGGCUGAUACCGCCCAAGAGUUCAUAUCGACGGCGGUGUUUGGCACCUCGAUGUCGGCUCAUCACAUCCUGGGGCUGUAGUCGGUCCCAAGGGUAUGGCUGUUCGCCAUUUAAAGUGGUACGCGAGCUGGGUUCAGAACGUCGUGAGACAGUUCGGUCCCUAUCUGCCAUGGGCGUUGGAGAUUUGAGAGGGGCUGCUCCUAGUACGAGAGGACCGGAGUGGACGAACCUCUGGUGUUCCGGUUGUCACGCCAGUGGCAUUGCCGGGUAGCUAUGUUCGGAAGCGAUAACCGCUGAAAGCAUCUAAGCGGGAAGCGCGCCUCAAGAUGAGAUCUCCCGGGGCACAAGCCCCCUGAAGGAACCAUGUAGACUACGUGGUUGAUAGGUCAGGUGUGUAAGUACAGCAAUGUAUUGAGCUAACUGAUACUAAUGAUCCGUGCGGCUUGACCAU